AUAUAUGAUGAAUGAUUGACAUUCUGUGCGUUUUAGUUUAUACUUCUUCCAAGUGUGAGGGAAAGAUACGAGUAGUCACUUCGUAUCUUAACUCUUAGUUUAUCGUCUUGUUCGUUUGCUCUUACUGAACGAGGGCGUUCGGAAACGUUUAGGAGUUCCACGAAGUUUCGUGAGCGUAUUAGAUAUGGACGAUGGGACAUGUUUUUAAGAUCUCGUAUCAUGUCUUGAGAUGUUAGUGGACCAGUAGGACUGGGUUUAGGACAAGACCUAGGUUUACUUUCGGCUCUAAGGCUGUGCGACUACUGAUCGGCUCUCGUUUUGCCUGUGGGCGAUUUCCACCUGGUUCUU
RNAcentral lists this long non-coding RNA (348 nucleotides) under Brassica napus (rape). Its description in RNAcentral is "long non-coding RNA (BNAP_LNC024705)". The record is from RNAcentral. Lineage: Eukaryota; Viridiplantae; Streptophyta; Magnoliopsida; Brassicales; Brassicaceae.